UACCUCACCAUGGAAACAUAUAUCAAAAAGCUUGAUCACUCUAAAUCCCUAUUAGCAGGGCAUCCAGCAACAUUUCCCCUUGGCUGGCAAUUUAUGUGGGAUUUAGUUGCCUGUCCUGAACGUUCUGAGUCCUCAUAAUCAUAUUACGUCUGCUCUCGCUUGUUCCGGAUCUGGCAGCCUCAGAUGUGGUGAACUGAUUUUUAGUUGGCUGUUCCCGGUUUUAUUUCGGGAAGAACAAUUAGUUACAUGGACCUUGAUAGUAGAAAAUAGACCGUCCCAAGUUUUAAGCAGACAGAAAACAGAGUACUUGAAACUGGAAAUGGUCUGGUCAAUUUUGAUAUCUAAUAUCAGUAGUGCAGAGGAUGAAUAGGACAUAAAAGUGGUCACGGAGAUAAUUUUAAAGUUACUGCAAUGAUCUAGUUAACGUUCUUGAUAGAAGACUAGAGGAUUGAGCCCCAACGGUAUUGAGAAGGAACAAGACAAUGGAUUGCUGCAUGUUGAGAAAACAUAAGAUUAUAAGUUGCCAAGACAUAUGCUAUAUAUAAACCUAUUAGUAUCAUAUCCCCUAAGACUUUUCAAAAUUGGCCAAAUUAUAUUGACAUUUAUCUUCAUUAUACUUUGAGUGACAUGAAGAUGGCAGAUGGAAACUGAGUUUUCCUUAUCAUGAGAGAUAAUUAUGACUAAAAUUUUCUACCACUACUUCUUUGCUUAUGCAAAUAUAUGUUAUAACAUUUAAAUAUAUAGUUAAAUAUUACUAUUAUGUAGAAUUGCAAAUACACAUAAUUAUGUUUUUUUAAAAGCAGUCCAUACAAAUAACUCAUUUGUUUACAGUAUUCUCAUGGAUGUCUGAGACGAAAAACCACUAAUUGUCUAUGUAAGCAAAGUGACACCAUAUUAUUUUAAAAUAAACAUCCAAGAGAAUUCCAUGUAUAUAAGACGGCAGAUUAUGUGGAUGUAGAAAACACUGUAAUCAUCAAAGACAUGAUAAAGUCAGCACAAAUCUUAGUAAAUUAUUCUGGAGUGACACCGACUCUGAUAUUCAGGCAGAUUGCAGGGAA
This 1058-nucleotide long non-coding RNA is filed under the name Callithrix jacchus (white-tufted-ear marmoset). RNAcentral's name for it is "lncRNA (ENSCJAG00000082304.1)". The record is from RNAcentral. Lineage: Eukaryota; Metazoa; Chordata; Mammalia; Primates; Cebidae.